CUACCCUUGAAUGUACCGAAACCCCCCCAAAAAUGGGCGUGCCCGAAAGGGAACGGUAACACACAGGUGCUGCAUGGCUGUCGUCAGCUCGUGUCGUGAGAUGUUGGGUUAAGUCCCCCACAACGAGCGCAACCCUUGUCAUUAAUUGCCAUCAUUCAGUUGGGCACUUUAAUGAAACUGCCGGUGACAAACCGGAGGAAGGUGGGGGUGACGUCAAGUCCUCAUGGCCCUUAUGGGUAGGGCUUCACACGUAAUACAAUGGCGCGUACAGAGGGUUGCCAACCCGCGAGGGGGAGCCAAUCUCAGAAAGCGCGUCGUAGUCCGGAUCGGAGUCUGCAACUCGACUCCGUGAAGUCGGAAUCGCUAGUAAUCGCGGAUCAGCAUGUCGCGGUGAAUACGUUCCC
Molecule: ribosomal RNA, 404 nt
Filed under: uncultured bacterium
Lineage: Bacteria
Description: bacterial SSU rRNA
Rfam family: Bacterial small subunit ribosomal RNA
Source: RNAcentral